RNAcentral lists this ribosomal RNA (439 nucleotides) under uncultured bacterium. RNAcentral's name for it is "partial 16S ribosomal RNA". It matches the Rfam family "Bacterial small subunit ribosomal RNA", at positions 339 to 795 of the family's 1533-position model. The record is from RNAcentral.
CUACGGGGUGCACCAGUGAGGAAUAUUGCACAAUGGGGGGAACCCUGAUGCAGCAACGCCGCGUGGAGGAUGACGCAUUUCGGUGUGUAAACUCCCUUUAUAUGUCAAGAGAAUGACGGUAGCAUAUGAAUAAGCACCGGCUAACUCCGUGCCAGCAGCCGCGGUAAUACGGAGGGUGCAAGCGUUACUCGGAAUCACUGGGCGUAAAGGACGCGUAGGCGGGUUGGAAAGUCAGGUGUGAAAUCCUACAGCUUAACUGUAGAACUGCACUUGAAACUUCUAAUCUAGAGUAUGGGAGGGGGAGAUGGAAUUAGUGGUGUAGGGGUAAAAUCCGUAGAUAUCACUAGGAAUACCUAAAGCGAAGGCGAUCUCCUGGAACAUUACUGACGCUAAGGCGUGAAAGCGUGGGGAGCAAACAGGAUUAGAUACCCUCGUAGUC